CAGAGCCGCUGCGGAGAGAUUUCUCAAGUUGAGCUUCAGAGGAAGAAGAAGAAGCGGCUGCAAAUCACAACAUGACGUUUAAGCGAAGGAAUGGUGGUCGUAACAAACAUGGUCGUGGUCAUGUUAACUUCAUAUGUUGUUCAAACUGUGGAAAGUGUUGCCCUAAGGAUAAGGCAAUCAAGAGAUUUUUGGUGAGGAACAUCGUUGAACAAGCUGCUGUUAGAGAUGUUCAGGAAGCUUGUGUCAUGAUGGUAUGUGUUUUUU
Papaver somniferum (opium poppy) is the source of this 264-nucleotide long non-coding RNA. RefSeq lists it as uncharacterized. The transcript has 3 exons. Lineage: Eukaryota; Viridiplantae; Streptophyta; Magnoliopsida; Ranunculales; Papaveraceae. The record is from RefSeq and is a predicted model, not a curated record.